GAAUGGCAUGCCCUGAGACCAGCAGACCCACUGGUCGCAGGACAGGUGUUGAAGGCACCUAAGCAGCAGGUCCACUGAGAAGUCAAGUAAAGAUUGGACACAUCUGGGACCUCCAUGGGGAACCAGUGGGAGCUACAGAGAUCCAGAAGCAGAGGUGUUUGCACAUCCCCACUCUCCAGAAAUACAGUGAGGGCAGAGUGGCCCUGGGCCUCUUGUGGAAGACUCAAGCCCUGGACAGAAAGCCUCUCCAGUCCUAGGGCAAGCAGCCAUUUAUUUUAAACCGAAUUUCACUCUCAAACCCUGGCUAACCUUUUGCAGCAUACCCAAAAGACACAGAAUCCAACCUACCAGGAAAAUAUCCCUGAACACUGGAAAUAUUCAGUAAAAGGGAUUUCAUCUUACAAACCCAGAAAAACAUAAUAAAACUUUCAUUGUCAGGGACACAAAAUGAUAACUUCUGGAUUAAUGAACACUCCGGACAAAGAACAAUGAAAAGUCUGCCUUUCAAGGUUCCUGGUGAUACCUGUAGCUGUGAUAUCUCAAGAAUGAAAGGAUCACAAGGAUAUCACAACAAACCAGAGCCGUCCUGUCCACUGCUACCUCAUCCUCCCACAUGAUGCUAGUGAGCCCUCGAAAUCGGACUGAUCCAGAUGGAGCUGUGCUGUAAGUGUAAAAUGCACACU
Molecule: long non-coding RNA, 683 nt
Organism: Felis catus (domestic cat)
Lineage: Eukaryota; Metazoa; Chordata; Mammalia; Carnivora; Felidae
Exons: 3
Source: RefSeq, a predicted model, not a curated record